GAAGUUCUCCUGAGAUUAGUUUGAGAAUGGUGGACUUGCCAAUGCCAUUUGGACCAACCAUUGCUAUUCGGCUGUCAAGGUCUAUACCAAAGUUCAAAUUCCUGAACAAGAUAGGCCCUCCUGGAUAACCAAAUGAUGCAUCGCUGAAACUUAUAAUUGGAAGCCCAGGUUUAUCAUCCGGCGUUGGGAAGUCAAAUUUGUAGUCUGGAU
RNAcentral lists this unclassified non-coding RNA (210 nucleotides) under Hevea brasiliensis (rubber tree). The record is from RNAcentral. Lineage: Eukaryota; Viridiplantae; Streptophyta; Magnoliopsida; Malpighiales; Euphorbiaceae.